UGGGGAAUAUUGGACAAUGGGCGCAAGCCUGAUCCAGCCAUGCCGCGUGAGUGAUGAAAGCCCUAGGGUUGUAAAGCUCUUUCACCGGUGAAGAUAAUGACGGUAACCGGAGAAGAAGCCCCGGCUAACUUCGUGCCAGCAGCCGCGGUAAUACGAAGGGGGCUAGCGUUGUUCGGAUUUACUGGGCGUAAAGCGCACGUAGGCGGACUAUUAAGUCAGGGGUGAAAUCCCGGGGCUCAACCCCGGAACUGCCUUUGAUACUGGUAGUCUUGAGUGCGAGAGAGGUGAGUGGAAUUCCGAGUGUAGAGGUGAAAUUCGUAGAUAUUCGGAGGAACACCAGUGGCGAAGGCGGCUCACUGGCUCGAUACUGACGCUGAGGUGCGAAAGCGUGGGGAGCAAACAGG
This 404-nucleotide ribosomal RNA is filed under the name Actinomycetes bacterium. RNAcentral describes it as "Actinobacteria bacterium partial 16S ribosomal RNA". It matches the Rfam family "Bacterial small subunit ribosomal RNA", at positions 355 to 776 of the family's 1533-position model. Lineage: Bacteria; Bacillati; Actinomycetota; Actinomycetes. The record is from RNAcentral.